CUCUGGUUUAAUAUUCUCAGAACUCUGACAGAUCCUCAGAUCUGUCCUAUUUCAUUGUGCCCCACUGUGACCAGGGGUUCUGUGACCUCCCCUGUCUUCUUUCCUGGCUUCUUUGAGGGUUAACUGGGACGGUAUAAGAAAAAAAGGACAAAUAUAUUGAGUAUCUUUGUGUUUUUAAAAAUAUUGGCCCACAGGAUCCCAUUAACUGAAGAAUCAUUUUACUGUUGAAGAAAACAGGGCUCAGAGAAAUUAAUUCAGCUGCCCAAGUUCACACAGCUAAUAAGUGGUCUAGUUCCAAAGCUCAUGCAGUUAACUAUUACAUUUAAAAGCUGCUUGAGUCUGCUAAAUCUCUGUUUGUUUCAAAUGAACAGUUUCUUCCUGCCCUGUGUAGUCAUCAUUAAUCCUUCAGGGCAGCUGAGAAGUAUCUUAAUCAGAGCCUCUGACCUUGUCAUUCAUUCUUCUUCUUACUUUUCAUUUAACUAUAGUCACCCUAAGGAAUGGAACUGUAACUGCUUUCGACUUCAGAGGAGCAGGCCCAGCCAAAGAACUUACCUCAAAGUUCUCACAGAACCCUGGUGCUCCCUGGAGUUGGUAGUUAAAGAACAUCCUUCGUUGGUGCCCGGCAGGCAUAAUGCAACUUUCUUCUCCCUGAUCAUCUCCCAGAAAAUAAGACCUGCACAGUUAGAACACUACAGAGAAUGGAUGUAAAGCUCAGGUAUGCCUUAAGAGUUCAUCUAUAUAUUAAAUAUAACAUCCUCUCAGAUUAGCAAAAUUUUAGCCCAUUAGAAAGGGAAAGGACGUUAAACUUUUUAGAAAACUC
RNAcentral lists this long non-coding RNA (820 nucleotides) under Fukomys damarensis (Damara mole-rat). RNAcentral's name for it is "lncRNA (ENSFDAG00000028705.1)". The record is from RNAcentral. Lineage: Eukaryota; Metazoa; Chordata; Mammalia; Rodentia; Bathyergidae.